RNAcentral lists this ribosomal RNA (437 nucleotides) under uncultured bacterium. RNAcentral's name for it is "partial 16S ribosomal RNA". It matches the Rfam family "Bacterial small subunit ribosomal RNA", at positions 28 to 507 of the family's 1533-position model. The record is from RNAcentral.
GAUGAACGCUGGCGGCAGGCUUAACACAUGCAAGUCGGACGGGUAGUGGUGUUUCCAGUGUCGGUCGGGCGAGUAACGCGUGAGAACCUGCCCUGGGGAUGGGAACAACAGCUGGAAAAGGCUGCGAAUACGCCGUAGGUAGAGCAGAAGAAGGAGGAGUCCGACUGAGGGGGGGCUGGCGUAUGAGUAGCUAGUUGGUGAGGCAAUAGCUUACCAAGGCGAUGAACAGUAGAUGUUCCGAGAGGAUGAUCGGCCACACUGGGACGGAGACACGGAGCCGACUACUAUGGGAGGCAGGCGUGGGGAAGUUUCCGCAAUGCGCGAAAGCCUAACAGAGCAUUGCCGUGGGGAAGUAGAAGGCCUACGGGUCGUGAACUUCAUUUCACGGAGAAGAAGUAUUGACGUUAUCUGGAGAAUAAGCACCGGCUAACUCUGUG